RNAcentral lists this transfer RNA (71 nucleotides) under Batrachuperus sp. 2 PZ-2020. RNAcentral describes it as "tRNA-Lys". It matches the Rfam family "tRNA". From Rfam's summary of the family: Transfer RNA (tRNA) molecules are approximately 80 nucleotides in length. Their secondary structure includes four short double-helical elements and three loops (D, anti-codon, and T loops). The record is from RNAcentral. Lineage: Eukaryota; Metazoa; Chordata; Amphibia; Caudata; Hynobiidae.
CAUUAAGAAGCUUUCAAAAUAAGCAAUAGCCUUUUAAUCUAUAGAUCGGCGAUUUAACCCGCCCUUAAUGA